GGGGCAGCUACUGUGCACAGAAUAGUUCUGAGCAUAAUGGGGAACCUCCCUACCAGAAGACCUUAUUCAGAUCCUCAAAACCAAGGCAAAUAGUGGUACCUGUACGUAGUCAGGGAGAGUCUAAGGAGUAUUAGUGGAGGAUCUAAGAGGAAAUUGUUUCCAACUAGUCAAGAAGGUGACAUUGGAGAUUUUGGUAUCAGGGGCAUUAUUAAUUUCUUUCUUUGCAUUCUAUUUAUUUUGUUUAUAAGUUUAUCGAAUAACAAUUUAUGCAAAAUAAAUUACACGUAUUUAAAGUGUACACUUGAAUGAGUUUUGACAGAUGAAAUCAUACGAACGUAAUCAAGAUCCCACAUACUUUUAUCACCUUCACAGCCCCUCACCCUUGAGCAAAGAUUGUUCACUUUCACCUCCAUCCCAUUCAAUUACUGCCAUGCUUUCUUCUGUCAUUAUAGAUUAUAUUUUCUAAAAUAUAUAUAUAUAUAAAUGGAAUCAUAUGGGAUAGACUCUUUUGUGCCUGGCUUCUCUCACAAAGCAAAAAGAUUGUGAGGUUCAUUCAUGUUGUUUCAUUAUUUAUUUUUAUUGCUGAGUAAUAUUCCAUUGCAUAGACAUAUUUGACGAGGUGUUUAUCUGUUGAUGGACGUUUGGGUGAUUUCAGUUGUCAUUGUUAAAAAUAAAGCUUGAUAUAUAUAAAUCGUUUUGUGAACAUGUUUCCGUUGCCCUUUGGCAGAUCCUGUGGAGUGUAACUGCUGGGUCACAUAGUAGAUUCAUAUUUAAUUUUCAAGGCUGAAUGUUGUUUUCCUAAAUAGCUACACAAUUAUACAUUCCCAUGAAUGGUGCAUAGGCUCAGUUAUUCCAUAUCUCUGUCAAUACUUGAAAUUUUCAGUCUUUAAAUUCAGUUAUUCUAAGGAGUAUAGAAUUCAGUAUAAGGUGGCGUUAUGAUUUAACUUCUCUUUUACCAGAUGUUGAGCAUCUCCUCAAGUCCUUAUUGACUUUCUGUAGAUCUUUUGUGAUUUUUCUGUUAAAACCUUUCAUCACUUGUUUUUUGGUAGUCUUUUUUAUUAUUUGAGUUGGCUGAUUCUUUAUAUAUUCUGGUCUGAUUUACAUGUUUAUCUAUAGCUUGAUCUUUAUUUUCCUAAUGGUGUCUUUUGAUGAGCAGAUGUGUUUAGUUUUGAUGUCAUAAAAUUUAUGAAUCUUGUCUUUUAUGAGUUAUGCUUUGUGUCUCCAAUGUGAGAAAAUUUGUUAAGCUCCAAAUCAAAAGACUCUUUCUAGAAAUUUUUCAUUUUCACUUUUACAUUUGGGUCUAAGAUCUCUAUACAGUGAUUAUUUUUGUGUGUAUGUGUUGUGUGCAAUGCAAGGAAAAUUAUUCAUUUUUUUCUUAGAAGUUUCCACCACUUGCCUUGGUAGGUGCUCAUAGCUUUUUGUGUGUAUGUGUG
Molecule: long non-coding RNA, 1433 nt
Filed under: Marmota monax (woodchuck)
Lineage: Eukaryota; Metazoa; Chordata; Mammalia; Rodentia; Sciuridae
Source: RNAcentral